This 6521-nucleotide long non-coding RNA is filed under the name Sus scrofa (pig). RNAcentral describes it as "lncRNA (ENSSSCG00060023654.1)". The record is from RNAcentral. Lineage: Eukaryota; Metazoa; Chordata; Mammalia; Artiodactyla; Suidae.
CUUUUCUUUUCUUUUUUUUUUUUCCUCACCCAUGGCAUGUAUAAGUUCCUGGGCCAGGGACUGAGUUGGUGCCACAAUUCAACCCAAGUCACAGCAAUGACAAUGCCAGAUCCUAAACCUGCUGCAUCACCAGAGAACUCCUAGAUUCAUUUCUUUACCCAGAAUCUUACUGGAAUUAUUCUGAAGGCUGAAUGAUUGAGAAAAGAGGGUCUGGAAAAUCCUCUUUCUUCUCUGGAGUCAGAAGCUUUUUGGUGUCAGCAAUCCCACUCCCAGGCAUAUAUUCAGAGAAAAAGAAUUUUAAUAGAUAUAUGCACCCCAAUGUUCAUAGCAGCAAAAAGCCAAGACAUGGAAGCAACCUAAAUGGCUAUCGAUAGAUGAAUGGAUAAAGAAGAUGUGGUAUAUAAAAACAAAAGAAUACUACCCAAUUGUAAAAAAGAAUGAAAUAAUGCCAUUGGCAAACAUAUGGAUAGACCUAGACACUAUCAGGCAAAACAAAGUAAAGAACAAACAUAUGAUAUCACUUAUAUGUGGAAUCUAAAAUAUGAUGCAAAUAAACUUAUUUACAAAACAGAAAUAGACUGACAGACAUCGAAAACAAAUUUAGGGUUACCCAAAGGGAAAUGGGAAAUAAAUUAGGAGUUUGGGAUUAGCAGAUACAAACUAUUAUAUAUAAACUAGAUAAACAAGGUCAUAUUGGGAUUAGCAGAUACAAACUAUUAUAUAUAAACUAGAUAAACAAGGUCAUAUUGUAUAGCAUAGGGAACUAUAUUAAAUAUCUCGUAAUAAACUAUAAUAGAAAAGAAUAUGAAAAGGAAUAUAUAUGUAUGUGUGUGUAACUGAAUCAGUUUGCUGCACUCUAGAAACUAACACAACAUUAUGAAUUAACUUCAAUUUAAAAAAAAUUUUUCUGGUGUCAUAAUCUACACUAAAUCUGGUGUCAUAAUCUACACUAAAAUAUUAGGCUUGCAAGCUCAGACCUCUAGGCUCUUCUUUCAGCCUCUUCACUUGGCUCAUUCCUGCCUGCCCUGAGAUGGCAUAAUUCAGCAGUCAUAACUGUUUGCACUUCCCUGAAGACACCACCCUCUCCCACAGUCUAGGACAUUGAAACCUUCUCUACUGUUUUUGAGAUCUAACUCAAGAGUUAGCAGUUGCAGGAAGUCUUCCCUAAUUCCUUCAAUCAGAGCAGGCAUUGCCCAUCAGCUUGGCAUGCCUACAGCCAUUACUACACUACAUUAUGAUUCUUGCUUAUACAUCUCUCCUCUGGUAAAUCAUAAGCUCCUUUUACAAAGUUUUGUUUGUUUUCUAGGUGCUCCAGCAUUAAAUGUAGCUCCUCACAUGAAGCUGGAGUUCAGGAAUUAAUUGUUGAAAGGAGGAAAGAGGAAAAGAAUGAUGAAAGGGAAAAGGAAAAAAAAAAUUCUUGCUGUCUCCAGAAGGAAAUCAAUGAUGUUUUCUUCAUUAUUCUCUUGGUAACUUCUUCUAACAGUUUCAUUUGUUCGUAGGCUUUUACAUAAUCGAUUUUAGUGAAGUCCCAUUGUUCUUUAAUAUUGAAGUAUUAGGACUAUGGUUUCUAAGUGUCUGGACCGUGCCAUCAUGCUUGGGAGGAAGAAUAUUAAUGACAAUUUCUUCUUUGACUUGUUUAUUUGGACUUUCAGGCAUAAGCUCAGUUAGCCCCACAUAAAGACAAAGCAAUUUGGCAGCGUUACUUACACUUCCAGUCAAGUCCUGCCCAUGUCCCCUCCUAAAUUUUUUUUUCACCCUGUUUCAUCUUCUGCAACCCCCAGCCACUGCACUGGCCCAAGCUGUCAGGCCCUUGGAUCUGAACUACUGCCACAGCUGCUUUGUAGUCAGUCAUUCCCCAGGCUUCUUGAUCCCGGACCCCUCCUCUGUCCAUCCAUCAGAAUGGGCUUUCUCAAAUUCAGUCUUCAAUUGCUUGUCUUUGCUGCAGUUAAUCACUGACAGAAUGAAUUCCCAAACUUUAAUCCACAUGGAGUUCCCAUUGUGGCUCAGGGGUUAACAAAUCUGACUAGCAUCCAUGAGGAUGCAGGUUCAGUCCCCGGCCUUGCUCAGUGGGUUAAGGAUCUGGUGUUGGCAUGAGCUGUGGUGUAGGUCGAAGAUGCAGGUUGGAUCCUGCACUGCUGUGGCUGUGGCGCAGGCCAGCAGCUACAGCUCCAAUUUGACCCCUAGCCUGGGCACCUCCACAUGCCUCAGGUGGGGCCCUGAAAAGCAAAAACAAACAAACAAACAAACCAAACUUUAAUCCGCAAAGGAAACCUCAGUGUAUCAUCACAUAAGGCUUUCCAUAAUUUAUUCUCAAUUCUGCCUAUUCUUACCAUCUUUAAACUCAAAACAAACUACCAUCUGUAUCGUUUAAUAAAGCCUCUGUAACAAGGUACCACAGAUCAGGUAGCUAAAUAACAGAAAUGUAUUGUCUUAGAAAUUCUGGAGACUAGAAGUUCAAGAUCAAGGUGUGGAUGACUUUUGAGGGCCAUGAGGGAUGAGUCUGUUCCAGGCCUCUCUCCCUGGUUUGUAGAUGGUCAUGUUCUCCCUGUGUCUUCACGCUGUUAUUCCUCUCUAUGUGUCUAUGUCUGAAUUUCCUCUUCUUAGAAGGAUACCAGUCAAUAUGGAUGGAUACAAAUCCACCCUAAUGACCUCAAUUUUACUUGAUUAUUCCUGCAAAGACCCCAUUUCUGCAGUUCCUGAUAUGACGAAAUGGGAUUGACAGCAUCUCUGCAGCACCAGGAUGAAGAUUCCAUGCCCAGCCCCACACAGUGGGUUAAAGAUCCGGCUUUGCCACAGCUGCAGCAUAGUUUAAUACUGUGGCUCAGAUCUGAUCCAUGGCCCAGGAACUCCAUAUGCCACAAAAAAGAAAAAAGCCAAGAAAAAAAAGACAUCUUUUCCAAAUAAGGUCACAUCCUGAGGUACUGAGGCUUAGGACUUCAACAUAUGAAUUUUGGGGGACACAAUUCAAUCCCUAACAUCACCCCUCCAGUUCCUUUCAUACUUCCAAGUUUUUGUGCAUGUUGGUCCAUUUGCUUGGAUUAUUUUUUACACCAACCUUGCAAUUUCUACAGGUAGAAUAGAUCAAGUAAAUUUUGUAUUUCUCCUCCUUCCUGUUCACCAUUUUCUUGAUUCCUCAUAGUUCUUCUUUCAAUGAAUGAAUGAUAUUUAUGUGUUUCCAUGUCUGUCUCCUCAUAGGUCUGUUUCCUCCUCCCCUGAGAGCAAAAAUGAUCUAAUUUGCCAUUUUGUUUGUGCCAUAAUUCCUGGCACAUUGCAGGAUAAGUAAGUGUUUUGAGGAAAACUGAAUUAGAAAUGGUGAGCCAGAGGAUAUGACACAGAAGCUGAGUCCUAGAGGAAAUCUAAAAAUUACCCAAAUAAAGAAAAUGAGGAAGAGCUCUCCAGGUCUGUCCAGAGAAGUGAAGCAAUAUGGUAUAUUUGCGAAACAACUAGUAUUUAAAGUAGUAGGUUAGAGAUUAAGGGAAGUAUGGCUAGAAAUGGAGGCAGAGGCCGUUCAUGAAGGGUGUCAUGAGUUAAGAGGAGUUCUGUCACUAUCUCAUACUCAUUCACUCGUACACACACGUGUGUGUUAUGUACUGACUUCCUGGCCCAUCAUGUUAAGUCAUUGAAAAGGUUUAAACAAAGAAGGCACAUGGUCACCUUUGUUUAUUAGAAUAUUAAUUUUGGCAGCAAAGUUAGACUGAAGAGAGCCAAUGCUGGAAACAGAGAGGCCACUGAAGGAGCUAUCAGCCUGGUCCAGGCCAGAGAUGGGAAGGGGAUGAACUGGAGAAGAUAACACAGAGACUCAAAGGAGGGAUUUCAGAAUCAUAGUGAUACUCAGCAGACCAAAGUGAAUAAUUUUAUGAUGACUUGAACAUAAAAAGGAGGAAGGAGAGAAGGAUAAAGCCCUGGUUUGGCUGGGUAACAGAGUAGAUGACAGAGCCAUUCAUAGAUGCUUCAAAGACAAAGGGGAAAAACACUUGGAAUGAGGUUAGGGGUAGGAUGGGGCAGCAGAUAAGGUGUGGGGGAAGAGAAAACAUUUAAUUGAAUGUGUUCAAGGGCUAUCCAAUUGGAGAAGCAGGUAGGUGCCCACCCACACCAGUCUGAAACUUGAGCGAGAGCUGUGGACACUGACGUCAUCUACAGAGAGUAUAACUGAAGUCAUGGCAACAGAUCCCAUAAGUCAGGAGAAAUGUACAGAGAGGGGAGUGUUAGGGAGUAAAGGAUGGACCUCCUGGGCCUGGGAGCAGCAAGGCAGCAGCUGCUGGUAACCAUAUUCAUGGCUUAGAAGACUAUCCGCUUCCUGGGUUUGUCUUGAACACUGCCAUCUAAGAACAUUUUAGUUUAUAAAGAUAAAUGUAAUCAAAGGCCAAAAAAAUAAAAAUUUUUUUUAAAAUUCUUAAAAAUUAAAAAAAUCACAAAAACCCCUGGCUUUCAGUGAUGCCAUUUUAUUCUCUUCAUUCAUUCUGCUAAUUUUGUGGUUUAUUAUUUGCUAUUCCAAAAUAUUAAAAAUGUAGUCAUUGUUCGUAAACCAAAAUCCUCUAUGAACUCAUAUAAAAUUAUAAUUGCAAUAAUUAAGCUAAAAAAAAUCCAGCAGCUGAAGGUUAAGAUCUGCCCUGGUUCUCUGCCUCCAUGAAAGCAAAAAUGGAAGUCAAAUCUUUGGCAGGAAAUCUAUUCAACCAUCACAUCCAAUGGGAGCACUGGAAUCCUCCAUUUUUAGAGUGAAAAACUCGGGGAUCAUUAAUGGGCAUGUCAUAGUAGAUGGUCAUCAAGAGUCAGCCAAUUAUAGGUUCUAGUCCUGUGUCAAGCUACACACCUGUGUUCCCUCCAUUCUCACACCUCAGUCCCUCCUCCACUGUUACAGUGCAGCCAUCUAGCCCAGGACAUGCAAGAAUAUUGUUGACCAGCCUGCUUUUCCUCAACAACACCGGUGGUAGGUGAAGGCCAUUAGUCUAUUUCUUGACUGUUUUAGGUGUCAACUCUUAAAUAUCCUCUCUAAAUUUUCAGUUUUUUCACCUAUAAAAUGGAAACUGUACUGAUUUUCUACCUAAUACUGUUGCAUUACAAACUAACUUUGGCUGUGACCGUUAUUCACCUAAUAAGAUUAGUAUACGGUUUCUGUUCCAGGUUAAACCUUUCUACUUCCAGUGCCUGUGGUAUUACAAUACCUUUGGACCCCAAAACUCCACUUCACAUUAUACUGAAGAAAAUAAUCUCAAAGGAAGAAUAACCUGUGUGCCAGAGACACUCAUUGAAAUAUUAUCUCAUAGAAAUAUAACAUUUAAAAUAGGAAAUGAAUUAAGUAAAUAUCCACUGAACAGAAUUUUAUGCAGCUCUUGCAAUGGCAUAUUUAUUAAGAAAGAACUAGAGGGAAAAUUUAAGGUGAUACCAGUGGUAUUUCUGUGAUAAUCAGAGGUGUAUAAAGAUGAUAUACUUAUAUAGAUAAAAACUUUAAGAGAAUUCACAUAAAUCAUUUUUUAAAAGGCAAAAUCUCUAGUUAUUUGUUGAGCACCAUCUAUUUCUUGUUAUUUUAUCUAUAUAUUUGAAUUUCUCAGAAAAGCUCUGUGUGGAAGAUACUGUCAUCACUACCAUUUUCAUUUAACAGAAGAGGAAAAGGGCUCAAGAAUUGCCCAGGACCAGUUUUAUUAUGUUGCAAUAAAAAGAUUAUAAAUGGAUUGUCUACUUUGUAUUGUGCUUUACAUGAAUGAUGUUGAAUCAUUUAAGGCAAUUUUUAUAGUAAUAUUUGCUAGAAAGAAGAAUAGAAUAAUGAUCUUCAUCUUGCAAUAAAUAACAGAACCAGUUCAUUUUAAACUGCAGUUAAAAAUGCACCCUUUAGAAUCGGCCAGGCUGCUUCUGCCUUUGCCAUUGUGGAAAAUGCCUUCUAACUCAUCUUGGCAGUGAACAUCUCCACUCUCUGCCUCCAGGUUCUCCGAUGGACUAGUCCAGUCACUUUCCCCUUGUGACUUUUCCCAUAAUCACUGAUGACAGUGACCAAGAAUCUCUGUUGAUUGUUAACUGGAUACAAGAAAUCAAGUGGAGCCACCUCUUUGACUGAAACUGUACCACUAUGGGUUGUAAAACACAAGAAGGAAGGAGCCCUGUGACUCCCUCUCUGUCUUGGUUGGCCCUAGUCCCUUUAAGACUACUAAUGCACACUAGCUCAGUGCAUCACCAAGAGAAAAGACUCGAAGACUCACUUAAAUGAUUGACCUAUUUCUGGGCUCUCUGUUGUUGCAAAUUACAAGAACACACUGUGUGCAUUUUCAGGUAAUUUGAUACUAUUACCUUAAAAUUCACUGGUUCCGCCUCCCCCUUCCCUCCCCUGUUCAAAAUGGAAUAUCUGACCUUUUCCCUUGGCAGACUGCUUCUCUUUUCCAGGUAACUGAUGAUGAUUUUAUACCCUGGAUGAUAAUCAAUAUGUAGAAGCUGUCUUUAUUGAUUUGGAUAAAACCACCAAUUAUGGCUAUUUUGAGCAGAGCUCAACGAGAUUAGAUGUGAUUACACUGCAACAGGGUGUGAGCCCGCUG